Grammomys surdaster is the source of this 1256-nucleotide long non-coding RNA. RefSeq lists it as uncharacterized. The record is from RefSeq and is a predicted model, not a curated record. NCBI's taxonomy places the organism in Eukaryota, Metazoa, Chordata, Mammalia, Rodentia, Muridae. The transcript has 5 exons.
UUGCUCUGCCGUGGUUUGAAUCUGGAGUGUCCUCCUAGGGCCCAUGUUGCAGAACGUUUGUCCUUCAGCUGAUGUAGUUUUUGAGAAGUGGUGGUGCACUUAAGACGUUGGAUCUACUGGGAGGAAGUUAGGUCAUUUGGAGGCUUGCCUUGGAAGGGGAUAUUCAGACACUCCAUUUUUCUUUGUUUUCAGGUGCCAUAUGUGGUUUUUUCCUCUGCCACAUCUUCCAAGUAUGAUGUCGUCUGUCAUCCAAAGCACGGAGCAAUGAGAUCACAUCGUGGCGGACAGAUACCACUGUAACUGACUGGCCCUGCUCACUCCAUCUCCGCACUGUUGGUUAACAGGGGACUCUCUGACUUUCAUGAGGAUCACUGGACAUGUGACAGAAAACUGGGAGAUCAGGAAGCUGUCCUUCCCUGCUUUGACUUUGUUCUGUCAGAACUGAUAAGUUAAAAAACUGCCAUCGGGUGUUCAGCAGGAGAGUGAAGGAACAUCACACACUCUGUAGCAGCAAUCAGAGGCUGAACCUGCCAGCAGAGCUGACUCUGAUGGACAAACGCUUCCUAGGCCCAUCCAUGGCGCCUUAGAAGUGCCCAACCUCAGAGCUACCUUUGGGCAUCUUCUUGAGCUUGUGAUCUGUUUCUUAAGGAUUUCAAAAAUGGGAUCACGUGGAGUUCUUACCCGUCGUUUCAGUGGACUGGAGGCUCCUGAUGCAGCUGCUAUCGGCAGACCUCCUGGACUGCCCUGGGAAGGGAGUGGGAGCUCCUGCCACAGAUGGGUGGAACAUCGACAAGAAGAUUUAACAUUGGCUAAAGGUGGCCAAAAAUAACAGUGCCUUCCAGAUGAGGUGACCUCAGAGCCAAGAGCAUCAUGGGGUAGAGUAUCUUGUUCCCAGUUUUAUGACCUAAAAAGUACACAGAAGAUGCAAAGAUACUACAGAGAGAAGGAACAAAGUCUGCAGAGAACAGGGGAAGGCGGUUAGUUAUAUAUAUAUAUAUAUAUAUAUAUUUUUUUUAAAUAGGAUUUUGUUGUGUGUGAACACACAGCCUUUUAUACAUGUUUGAAGAGAGAUCUAGAUCUAUACAUAUAUAAAUGAUAGAUGAAUAGGUGAUAGAUGAUCGAUAGAUAGAUAGAUAGAUAGAUAGAUAGAUAGAUAGAACAAAACACAAUAGAAGACCAAAAGGAGAAAAAGGUAGAAACAAUGUUGCCUUCCUUUGCUAUUGAAACAAACUUAAUAAAUCCUCAUUGAGACUCAA